CCUACGGGAGGCAGCAGUGGGGAAUAUUGCGCAAUGGGGGAAACCCUGACGCAGCAACGCCGCGUGCGGGAUGACGGCCUUCGGGUUGUAAACCGCUUUCAGCAGGGAAGAACAUCGACGGUACCUGCAGAAGAAGCCCCGGCUAACUACGUGCCAGCAGCCGCGGUAAUACGUAGGGGGCGAGCGUUAUCCGGAUUCAUUGGGCGUAAAGCGCGCGUAGGCGGGUGCCUAAGCGGGACCUCUAACCUCGGGGCUCAACCCCGAGCCGGGUCCCGAACUGGGCGCCUCGAGUGCGGUAGGGGAGAUCGGAAUUCCCGGUGUAGCGGUGGAAUGCGCAGAUAUCGGGAAGAACACCGAUGGCGAAGGCAGAUCUCUGGGCCGCCACUGACGCUGAGGCGCGAAAGCUAGGGGAGCGAACAGGAUUAGAUACCCGUGUAGUC
RNAcentral lists this ribosomal RNA (440 nucleotides) under uncultured bacterium. Its description in RNAcentral is "partial 16S ribosomal RNA". It matches the Rfam family "Bacterial small subunit ribosomal RNA", at positions 338 to 795 of the family's 1533-position model. The record is from RNAcentral.